Molecule: ribosomal RNA, 253 nt
Filed under: uncultured bacterium
Lineage: Bacteria
Description: partial 16S ribosomal RNA
Rfam family: Bacterial small subunit ribosomal RNA
Source: RNAcentral
UACGAAGGGGGCUAGCGUUGCUCGGAAUCACUGGGCGUAAAGGGUGCGUAGGCGGGUCUUUAAGUCAGGGGUGAAAUCCUGGAGCUCAACUCCAGAACUGCCUUUGAUACUGGUAGUCUUGAGUUCGAGAGAGGUGAGUGGAAUUCCGAGUGUAGAGGUGAAAUUCGUAGAUAUUCGGAGGAACACCAGUGGCGAAGGCGGCUCACUGGCUCGAUACUGACGCUGAGACGCGAAAGCGUGGGGAGCGAACAGG